Long non-coding RNA from Rattus norvegicus (Norway rat), 1415 nucleotides. RefSeq lists it as uncharacterized. NCBI's taxonomy places the organism in Eukaryota, Metazoa, Chordata, Mammalia, Rodentia, Muridae. The record is from RefSeq and is a predicted model, not a curated record.
CUUUCACUCGUUGGGGUACACUCACCUAAAUCGUGUCAUCAUAGUUUGAGCAUCAAGUGCCAAAAUGAAGAUGUUUUAAGAAGAGAUGUAGUGGUUCAAGGCCCAAGUGCCUAAAUUGUGAACAGAGGCGAGCGAAGGGAAGUGACAGCCAAGACUGUAAGGCACUGCAGCUGUUGGUGACCUUACAUCCUUCCCUAUCGCCUUGGUUGAAGGGCUUCCUCCAGCUGGGCGUGGCGGUGCACAUGUGUAAUCCCAGAGCUGGGGAAGCUAGGGCAGAAGGACCUGAGGAAUGAAGUAAGUCCAGCACUCGGGAAGAUUGCCUUGAAUGGGGAGACCAGGGGCCAGUCUGUCCUUGUGUUUUACAGAAAAGCAUCAGGAAAGAAGCCUGUCACCUAGGCUUAACAAAAGAACAGUGAGAGCUGGAGGGAUGGCUCAGUGGUUAAGAGCACUGACUGCUCUUCCACAGGUUCUGAGUUCAAACCCCACAGCCAUCUGUAAUGAGAUCUGACGCCCUCUUCUGGUGUGUCAGAAGACAGCUACAGUGUAUUCAUAUAUAAUAAAUCUUUAAAAAAAAAAAGAGCAGUCACAUUUUGGGAUAGCUUCUGCUUUUUGUUUGUUUAAUAAAACCUUGCACAUACAAGAAGCCAUUCUUCAGGUCCUGGGUUCAGUCUAUGGACUUCUUAUUAUAUUCUGUUUCCUCCUCAUUCCAACCCUUGCUCUUCUACCUCACUCAUGUUUCUUCAUGGAAAAAACUCCAGCACUAAACCUUGUUUUCUAGCUGCUAUCUCAAACCUCCCCUUACCUGGGUCACAAAUAAGGUUUCCAGCAUUUAAAUUCAGGACAUGGUUUAAGUAAAGGUUAAGAAAGACGUCUACCAAACUAUAUAAUAGCUAUUAGCUGGAUUCUUUUCAAGAUGGGAGUUUCAGCUGCUUCUUCCAACUGGAGGGGCCCAGCAAGCUCCAACAUGUGAGACUCAUACUUCAUGGCUUCCCCAAAAUGUACACUAAUAAAAGAAAACGGGGACGAAAGUCCUGAAAAGGAACAGACUGGACUCUCCCAGCAUAGAUCCUGAAGUUAGUGAUGUGCUUACUGGCUCUGUGCAUGCCGACGAGCCCUGGCUUCUGUUUCAACUUGUCGAAGACUAGCAAAAGCUGUGUCAGGACAAGCUCUGGCGAGAUGGUGAAGAAAGCAUUUACAACUGCCAGGUUGCUGAGUGGACAAGAAGCCAGUGAGCUGGGAGAGCCAACAACUGAUUCAGCGCAUUAGCAAGCUGGUCUGCCUACUCAAGCAUUAGUCCAGCAAGCUCAAACUAGGUGACAGACCAAAGUAACUCACAGUUUAGUAACAUGUUUAGCCAUCGUUGGAGUCUUAAGAUGAGCCACAAAGCACGAUAUAAUUAUUUUGCCUUCUACCAA